Microcebus murinus (gray mouse lemur) is the source of this 2644-nucleotide non-coding RNA. NCBI's taxonomy places the organism in Eukaryota, Metazoa, Chordata, Mammalia, Primates, Cheirogaleidae. The record is from RefSeq and is a predicted model, not a curated record.
AGCUCAAACAAUCCGCCCGCCUUGGCUUCCCAGAGAGCUAGGAUUACAGACAUGAGCCACCACACCCAGCCCAGAGAAUAAGUUUUUGAAAGACACAGUUAUCUAGUAAGACCAAAAGAACCAGGGACUCAGGGGCUGGGGUUACAGUGGAUGACAUGAAUCUGCAGGAGCCCCACUCCCUUGCAGUCCCUACUCCCUGGCUCCAUUGUGAGCACGCUGAAGGGUUGUGGGGCUUGGGAGGAAAGAGGUAGAUGUCUGGCCAAGAUCCUAAAUUAGCAGGACUCAGAAUUUUUGGAAAAUUAUUAUGACUUAAUAAAGGAAUUCAUACCUCAGGUGUGGAAUAAGAACAGUUGCUUUUCUGCCUUCUCUUUCUUGAACAGAGACUUCCAUUCUCAUUUCAGGCUUCCUAUUUGUCAGUUUGGGCCAGAUUCUGCCCACACACACCCUACCCUCUGCCCUCUCUGACCCGGUUUGACUACAGGCAAGUUCCUGUACCUUUUAGGGCUUCAGCUCCUCCAUCACAAAAGACAGAGUUGAACCAGACGACCUGUUUCCACGCUUAAGACUACAUGUCUUUCAGAUUGAUAAUGGGGACCCAGCAUGCCAGUGUCUUUUUCUGAUUCUUCGCAACCUUGUGUGGUUCCAAUGGUAGUCAGAACUGGGUUUAAACCUUACCCCACCCCACCUUACUAGCCACCUAACCACAGGGAAUCCUUGCUCCUCAGCAUCCUACCAGAUAAGUGGGAAUAACAAUUUCUCCCCUAUAGGCUUGGUCUAAAAUGCCUUGGAAUAUAGGAGCUGCUCUUAUUUUACCCUCCUUCCCCACUCUGACUCCUCUGCACCCUGCAAAAAAAGCAAAUAUCCAUUCAUCCUCAGCACUUUCCUAAAUUUUAAUUAUAACUGGGGAUAAUCCACCUAUACAAACUGAAUAAAAGUAAAAAUAAAGGCUGAUUUAAUAUCUGGCUUGGCUUUCAAAUAAAACCCAUAUUUAAAAGUUUCUCUUUCUUUUGACUUGACUGAUAAUAUACAAAUCACUCUCAAACUCCUGGUCUCAGUUUGUAAGUUUCUAGGGGCCAGGAAAUAUGUCAUCCAUGAAUUUCUAUGUAGCAAUAUUAACACAUCAUCUACCCAGAGGUUAGUAUUCAGAUGAUGACUCUAAGGGGGGUGGGUAAAUGUUUCUAAGAGAUAUUUUGCCUGGGAUCAGGAGCCUAGUGAACUCCAAGUCCAGCCUUUUAGAGAAGAGAAUACAAAAUUUGUGGAAAGUCUUGUGAGGUUUACAGAUCAAAAUACUAGUAACUCUUUCUUUACUUCUUAAAGCAGGGGUUGGAUCAGAUGACCUAAGGCUCUUUAGUUCUGUGAUUCUAAGAACUGAGAGACAGUUUCUUCCAGGCUAUAGCAUGUGUGCCUUUUCCAGUCCUGUGCUCAAUUUCUGCUUCCAAGAAACCAGCAAUGUGAACUCAUGAGAAGGUCGGAUCACCAGGAACUCUUUGGUGUGGAAGAUGGAAGGGAAGAAAAGACAAACUGCAAACCAUCGAUGACCAUACUGAGUAAUAAAAGCUACAAACAGAGGUACACACAAGGCACCUGAGAGUGGGUACACGAAUGAAGGACACCUGAUCUGGUUUUGGGGCCAGAAAGCUGCUUGGAGGAACACACCUAAAGGACAAAUAGGAGUUAUCUGGCAAAGGAAGGCGGCGAACCGGCUUCAGGAGCGGCAGUGGCGGCAAGAUGGCCACUCUCCGGGCCUUCACCUGUGACGACCUAUUCCACUUCAACAACAUUAACUUGGACCCACUGACAGAAACUUAUGGGAUUCCUUUUUACUUAUGGUACCUUGCCCACUGGCCGGAGUAUUUCAUUGUUGCAGAGGCACCUGGUGGAGAAUUGAUGGGUUAUAUUAUGGGUAAAGCAGAAGGCUCAGUAGCUAGAGAAGAAUGGCAUAGGCACAUCACGGCUCUGUCUGCUGCCCCAGAAUUUCAAUGCCUUGGUUUGGCUGCUAAAAUUAUGGAGUUAUUAGAGGAAAUUUCAGAAAGAAAGAGUGGAUUUUUUGUUGAUCUCUUUGUAAGAGUAUCUAACCAAGUUGCAGUCAACAUGUACAAGCAGUUGGGCUACAGUGUACAUAGGACAGUCAUAGAAUACUAUUCAGCCAGCAACAGGGAGCCCGAUGAGGAUGCUUAUGAUAUGAGGAAGGCACUUUCCAGGGACACAGAGAAGAAAUCCAUCAUACCAUUACCACAUCCUGUGAGGCCUGAAGACAUUGAAUAACCCUGGGCAGUGGUUCUGAGGCAGAUGCUCCAGAUAUUUUACGGACAAUAUUAUUUUCAUUGGGAGAAAAGUAAUAAUAAUUUAGGUCUUAAAGACUUCAAGAAAAUAUAGGUUAUCAGCUUACUUUAAAUCUCAUUGUUUCCGAUUAGCAAUAUCAUACCUAUAAAGCUGUUCACUGUAAUAAAAUUCAAUCGAAAAGGCAGCUAGGUCAGAAGUAAACAUUCCACUAUCGUGGUUCAUAAUAUUCACUGUAUAUUAGGGAAAAGACUUGCUCCAAUCUCCUAAAUUCUGUGCCUGAGAACAACUGCUGCAUAUAUAUAUAUAUAUAUAUUUUUAAUUUUGUAUUGAACUGUUAAUUGAAGCUUUAAAAGCAUAUAUG